Molecule: long non-coding RNA, 1388 nt
Filed under: Podarcis muralis (Common wall lizard)
Lineage: Eukaryota; Metazoa; Chordata; Lepidosauria; Squamata; Lacertidae
Description: lncRNA (ENSPMRG00000006422.1)
Source: RNAcentral
UACAUGUGUCAGCCACUCCUUCUGUUCCCCCACAGCCUAGGUGUUUGACUAAGGAUUCCACUGAAGGCCUAAGCCACCAAAGUUGUGACAAUUGCUAUGGGGAAGGCGAAACCUGCAAAGCAGGGACAAUUCCUUCCUGGCUCUGAAGACAAAAACCACCGUACAACCACAGCAACGCCCACAUACCUGGAAAGAAAAGUGUAUGUUGCAAACUACCCUGAAAGAGUUUACACUCACAGGCAGAAUAUACAAAUUUUAAAUAACAAGAAGAGAAGAAGAGUUCUGCUGCAUCAGACUGAAGGCCCACGGCUUCCCACAGUGGUCAACCAGAUGCUCCUGGGAAGCUGACAAACCAGACAUGAGGGCAAUGGCCCCAACUCCUGUUGAUGUUUCCCAGGCACUGAUAUUCAGAGGCAGAUUAUCUGUGAUCCUGGAGACAGCAUAUAGCCAUCAUAACUAGUAGCCGUAGGUAGCCUAACUUUCCAUCAAUGGGUCUAAUCCUCCUUGAAAAGUCAUUUAAGUUGGUAGUUGUUAAACAAUUCUGACCUAGAUUGAACAGGAGUUGGACUUGGCAUAAAGUAGUUUCAUAAGUUCAACAAAGAUACAUGAUUCCUUACGGGCGGCCAUAGAGGGGUCCGCUAUUUUACAUGGCAAUCUCAAGAAGUAAAGACAAGAACAUGUUUCCUACUUUUAUAGCCCACUGGAAUGAUUUUUUUUUAAAAAAACCCCAAAACAUUUAUACCCUGCUCUUCAGGAGAAACUUGCCCACCCCCCCCAUAAACAAAAAAUUGAAAAUAAAAAUUACAGUAAAUACAAAAACCAUUGCAUACUAACACCAGCAGCAAAAAAGAUGGAGCAGACAAUUCAAAUAUUAUAAAACUCCAUUAUCUAAAAGGCCUAGGCAAGUAAAACAAAUCUUCACCUGGCACCUAAAUAGCAUACAUUUAAUGGCUUCACUUCAUGGAUUUUUAUAUAAUCUAGAAAAUGUUAAAUCCAGCAUUAAGCCUCUGAGUCCCAAAAAUGUCCCAGAAGUGUUGAGAUUUUACAAUCAAUAUUAUCUUGACUGUAGUGUACUUGAGACUGUUUACUGUUAGCUGAGUUUCCAGGACCUGCACUUGUUUGUCCAUGGAUAAGGGAGGGAAAGAUUAUAUACACCUGGCAAAAAAGUUCCCAUAGUGAUUUUAAGUCAUUUUGACUUAAACAUCAAAAUUUGAGGUCAGAACCUGUACAAAGUCCAGAUGCUGAUAAUGUCAAUGGAUGUUAUGCAAUAUGUCAUAGCUUUUCUGAAUAAACGUAUUGAAAAAAUGUUUGGAAUUGUUGAUUUGGCUGUGAUCUCAUUAGUGAAAUACAUAUACAGGGCUCAACUAAAUGGUGUAAUAUUGUGCAAC